UCAGCUCGGUUGACCAAUGGGUGGCCGCGGAGUGACUAAGCGGAAAUCCAGUCAGGGGCGUUCCAUCGAGUCACGUGAUCUAAGUCCCGCCCACAUCCAGAAAUGCGAUCAUCUCAGAAAAUCGUCUAGUCACUCACUUUUAAAUGCUUUUAUAAAAAGUUAAAUACUUAUUUUUUUCUUUUUAAAGAAAAAAAAUUAUGAAGUUUACAUUUUGUAUAGAUAAAUCACCUAACGUAUUUAUUUUUCAUAUUUAAUAAAUAAAACAGUUUGUGAUUUUUGUUUAAUAUGUGCAUGUUAUUUAAUUUAUCAGUAUGUUUUUACGUGUUAUCUUAUUUUUUUAAGAGUUUUUUUUAAUCUUGUUUGAUUUCUUGUGGGAGUAAACAAAAAUGCUGAGUCGUGUUUUGUCAGCAUUCCCACUGAUCAGACUACAACAAUUUUGAUUUGGUGAAAACUUUUCCAACAAGUGAAACUCAGCGUUCAAUAAAACCAGAACAACAAGAAGAUUAAAAUAAAAUUAAUUCGCUUAACCCGAUUCAUCCUUUCUGAAUCACAGGGGUAUUAAAAUAAAGAUUAAAAAAUUAAUUACAAUUUUAUAUAUUUUUUUAAAUGAAUGUAAAUCACCCACUGCCUUUUGUGACAAAGAGUUUUAGACAAAAAUGUGCUGAGAAUAAGGACUGACAUUUGACAAACUACAAAUGUUGUAAAGGAUCUGAUGCAACACACUGAUCACUCAGGAUGACUCAGCAACUUCACCAAACUUUAGCUUCAUGUUUGAGAAGCUGCGAGACGUGGUGGCCAUCUUUAAUGGGGUUGAUUCCAUUAUUAACUUCUGGUUAAUUAUAUCUAAAUAUUUAACAUUUAUGCCUCCAGCUUUUUAAGGAUCUGAGUUUGUUUACAAAUUAUAAUUUUUUUCAGUUUUACAGCUUUUCACCUGAAUCAGAGUGACUCCUGUUAGUAAAACAGGUGUUUCCAGCAGCGACAUCACCGUCAGCCAAUCAGCAGCAGUGUGUGUCACGUGACGCUGAGUCAGUCUGAGGUGACUCAGAGUCACAAGGUGAAAGUGUUUUUGUUUUCAGAAGUCACAGAGGGGAAAACCCGCUGCUGGGUCUGGAUCUAGAACCAACCAGAACCUUCUGAAGAAUCCUGCUUUUUCUUCUAAAUCWGGAUGAUUUUAAUUCCCACGUUAAAAAAUGUUUUCUGUUGUCACUUUAUCGCACCGGAACAACUCGGAAACACUUUGUUUAAAAAUAAUGCAGGAAAACUGAUCCAUGCAUUCAGGCUGGACUGUUGGGAUUUUUUAAAAUCUUGGUUUUGACCUAAAAGUUAUGAACAGAAUUGRUGACAAAGGACAACYUUGGUUGAGUCCAACUCUCACCAGAAAUAAGUCUGACUURCUACCAUCAAUGUGGACCAAGCUCUGGACCAGAAUCGCCUCGAAGCCGUACCAAACUCUUUUCCCAUGGCCUCUCUGAACUCCUCCCACGCUCSAGUUUUUGCCCCAGUGACCCUUUCUGAUGGGCAAUAAAAAUAAUUUUAUUCUAAAAUGACAGAAUAAAAAUCUGAACAGCGUUCUAGUGGGCGGAGCCUGCUGUAUAUAUGAUAUAUACAUAAUAUACAAGAUCAAUCACUCAUUAAUAUAAUUUUAUUUCAUUUUAUUAACAAGAAUUUGAUCAAUAGAGAAAAUAAUAAACUGUUCAAAAUCAUUACAUCUGCCUCUUCUUAAAAUGUCGUUUUUAAGUUGAGUUUAAAGACAAAGAAAAUCCAACAAAAGCCUCAUUAAUGAUGUCAGGAGUCAGCUGUGUGAUGAUGUCAUCGUGAUGUCAGAUGUACAGGUGGUACAUGCUGCGAGUCAGUUUCUUCC
This is a long non-coding RNA of Austrofundulus limnaeus, 1861 nucleotides long. RefSeq lists it as uncharacterized. The transcript is spliced from 2 exons. NCBI's taxonomy places the organism in Eukaryota, Metazoa, Chordata, Actinopteri, Cyprinodontiformes, Rivulidae. The record is from RefSeq and is a predicted model, not a curated record.